GCUGGCGGCGUGCCUAAUACAUGCAAGUCGAACGGUCUUUCUAUGGAAGCUUGCUUCCACUGAGAAGAUAGUGGCGAACGGGUGAGUAACAACGUGGGUAACCUGCCCAUAAGAGGGGGAUAACAUCCGGAAACGGGUGCUAAUACCGCAUAGUUUUCUUGAUCGCAUGAUCGGGAAAGGAAAGACGGCCUUUGUGCUGUCGCUUAUGGAUGGACCCGCGGCGUAUUAGUUAGUUGGUGAGGUAACGGCUCACCAAGACGAUGAUACGUAGCCGACCUGAGAGGGUGAUCGGCCACAUUGGGACUGAGACACGGCCCAAACUCCUACGGGAGGCAGCAGUAGGGAAUCUUCCGCAAUGGACGAAAGUCUGACGGAGCAACGCCGCGUGAGUGAAGAAAAGGUUUUCGGAUCGUAAAACUCUGUUGUCAGAGAAGAACAAGUUGGAGAGUAACUGCUCCAGCCUUGACGGUAUCUGACCAGAAAGCCACGGCUAACUACGUGCCAGCCGCAGC
Molecule: ribosomal RNA, 512 nt
Filed under: uncultured bacterium
Lineage: Bacteria
Description: bacterial SSU rRNA
Rfam family: Bacterial small subunit ribosomal RNA
Source: RNAcentral